This 379-nucleotide long non-coding RNA is filed under the name Hordeum vulgare. RNAcentral describes it as "long non-coding RNA (HVUL_LNC003929)". The record is from RNAcentral. Lineage: Eukaryota; Viridiplantae; Streptophyta; Magnoliopsida; Poales; Poaceae.
AAAAUUUGACUGGACUGUUCUGCUCAUGUUAAUUGAUGGACCUAAAUAAAUCGCCUGACAAAAUAUUAGUAUAAUAGAUUAAUGGGGUAGGGUUGCUCGCCCAUUCUGUGUAGAUAAGGUUUAUAAUUUGGAAUGCCGGGUAAGUUCUCAACAAGUAACACCCUGAAGUUUCAUUCUAAUUUCAUCAUGUGGUUUGGUGCAUGAGGAGAUUUUUUAUAAUAAUCAUAACAAUUUCUUUCCGAUGAGAAUAUAAGCUGAAACUAGACACAUCCUCAUCAGGUAAAUUGAUUCAUGUUCUUAAUUCAUGUCGAGGCAACAAGAACAAACUAAAUAUUUUGUAGGCCAGAGUUUUGCUGAUACUCUUGCUAGCGUAUUUGUU